AUCCUCUCGGGAUCGUACCUGGAGAGUUUCCAGGAUGCUACCAGUCUCGACUUUGGGAGGGAGAGUCAAGCAGAGGCCUGUCCAUCCCAUUCCUAUCUUGGUCAGUGGCUAGUGAGUGGAAGGCAAUCCGCUACAAGU
This is a small nucleolar RNA of Tachyglossus aculeatus (Australian echidna), 138 nucleotides long. The record is from RefSeq and is a predicted model, not a curated record. NCBI's taxonomy places the organism in Eukaryota, Metazoa, Chordata, Mammalia, Monotremata, Tachyglossidae.